ACAAUGCAUCUUUUUAAUUGUGGUAGUAUCUUUCGCAGAAAUUGCUUGAACGCUAGCUUGGAAUUGGUAAGCUACUCAAACUUUAUUUUUUUAUAUUUUAUAAAUCCUAGAAGAGUUUGAAUAUCCUAGAUAUUCAUUCAUAGUGAAGUAAGUUCUGGAAUUGCAUGACUGGGGUCGGAUGGGUGGUAAUAUUUGUACUGUUAAUUAUAGUUUUGUUUGUUUGUAUUAUUGUGGAUGUUUUAAUAGAUUAAUUGCAUGUUUAAAAUUUUCGGGAACGUCCGAAUUAUAGAUGUUAUGCUGCCGAAAUUUCAGUAGGAUUAAUAUCACUACAAGAAAAAACACUUUUCAUAAGACCAAAAUAGUAAGAUGUUUAUAAAUAAAUAGAUAAUAAAUAGAAUAUAUGAUUGGAUAUAUAAUUAAUGUUAAUAAUUGACUAUAAAAAAGAUAUACAUAAUCAAAAUUUAUAUAUAUUAUACAAUCUAAGUACAUAGUUAUUUUUAAGAAGAUUGUAUUGCUUCAAGCUUUUAAAACUUUUUCUAACCAAAACAUCACUUAAAAAAGCUCGAAAAUGUAAUCUAUAUACAAUUAGUCAAACCAUUCUAUAUCUAUUAUCUACAUCUUUUUGACAAAAUCAUUGUAUUAAUUAGGUUAAGUUGAAAUAGAAUUAUUUUAUUGUAUUAAUUAGGUUAAUUAAAUUGUUUUUUUGUUGUUUUGUUAGAAGUUUCGAAAUGGAUAGAGAUUGGAUGAGUGCGAAUAGGUUAACGGUAAAAUAUAGGGAAGGUGUUGAUUUCUUUUUGGAGUUUUCUGCAAAGAAUGCGGAUAAUCCUGAUUUGGUUCAUUGCCCAUGUCUCAAAUGUGGUAACAUGGAGCGUAUAAAAAUUGACCAAAUAAGAGAACAUUUGUUUAAGAACGGUAUAGACAGGAGUUAUAAGGUUUGGUAUCACCACGGAGAAAAAAUUAGAAGAUCGGGCGAGGGACCCUCUAGAAGGGAUAAGAUUGUUAAUAAUGUGGAGUAUGAAGAGGAUCACAAACUAAUGGAUCGAUUAGUGAGUUGACUGAAUUAACAUGUUUUGUUCUGUAGUGAUCACUGGUUGACAAUUAUGAUUCAUGCCAAUACUCAAAGUGUUGCAUAUCUUGACUCGACGAAUGACUUUAUCCGAACUGAUAUUAUGAAAUGUAUCCAAAAUGCUGUGGACAUGUACAGGAUCGAAAAAAAUAUACGAAACAAGGGUCCAGUAAAAAUCAACCAAUACACGUGUCGACAGCAGCCGGAUGGAGUACAAUGUGGUUAUUAUGUUAUGAAGAUUAUCCAGAGUUUCAUGACGGUUGUUAAUCCUGCAAGUUUUUUGAAAAAUUAUUUCAAGUUAGACGCUCCCUAUAGUAACGAGGAGAUCAAUGCCGUACGAGAUGAGUUGGCCGAAUUUGUGAAGCCUUUGAUUAUAGAUUAAGUACUUAAGGUUACUACACUUUUGAUAUAAUACAUAAGUAACAAGUUUUAUGAUUAUUACUAUCUUUUGCAUAUAUUAUUAGUUUAUAUUUAGUUUACGAUAUACAUGUAAUUUAAGUUUUAGAAUCGAUUUUAUUAACAAUUUUGGUAUUGUGUGAUUAGUUAAUAGAAUCGAUUACUAAUUUAAUAUAAGUUUUAAAAAUGUUAUCUUAAUGUUUUUUGUAUUAUGCAUUUACUAUUAUAUAGAGUUAUUCUAAAAUUUGAUAAUGCAGGUGGGGAAAAUUGCAUGAAAAAUUUGCAAUUUUCCCUUACUUAUAUUUGUGCUUCAUUUUAUAAGUGACGCAAUAGGUAAAAAAAAAAGUAUUUUCGUAAUAGAUAUGACAUUUUUAAACCGACGGAAUAAGUUUUUUGUGACAGUUUUAAAAUGCCAUGAAACAUUUAGCGUCAUUUUUCAACCGACGCUGAAAAUAAAAUAGAAAAGAAAUUAUUUAGCGUCGGUUUAUAAAUGUCGAAAAUUGUUUUUUGCGACGUUUUAAAAAUGAUGCUAAUAAAAACUAUUUGCGACUACGGUAUAUACGUCGGUUUUAUAAACCGACGUAAAUUCUUUAAGUGUCACUUAAAAACAGACGUGAAUAGUGAAUUUUGUAGUAGUGUAUGCCUGAGUUUGUUUUUCAUCCGCAAGUUGUCCAUAGUUUAUUACUGAGGGAAGUUUUCCAGCCCAAUCCUAAAGAGUUUUGGGCUAAGGUUGCUGGCCGUUGUAUACGGUUUAGUGCUGUGGAAUUUUAUUUGAUUUCUGGAAUUGAUUGUUUCGGUGAUUGCAACAAGUUGUUGUUUUCACAGGAAACAAAUCAGUUGGUAGAAAUCUGUUUCCGUGGUGUAAAAACUAUUGACCACAAAGCCAUUGAGGAUGCUCUUUUGGGUAGUCGGUGGGGUUUGGAUGAGUCUUUUGGUUUGAAAAUGGUUGUUUUGUAUUUUAUUCAGUGUUUUCUUCUUAGCAAUACUCCUGAUAAAGAAGUAUCUAGGUUUGAUCUAGAUGUUAUGGAUAGCGGUCGGUGGGACGAGUAUUGUUGGGGUAGGGAAUCCUUUGAAUUGACAAUUGAUUCAUUCAAAGGUAGAAUUCAACAUGGGAUUAUUAUGAAAAAUAGGAAGGCAGAGAAGGGAGGCCAGUAUGAUGGCUGGUAUAGGGCUUUGGGAUGUCCUUGGGUUUUUACGGUUUGGUUUUAUGAAUGCUGUCCUGCUAUGGUGAACUCUUUCUGUAAAAGAGUUUCAUCUUCUAUUCCAAGGAUUUUGAACUGGAGCAACACCAUUGUCACCAAAAAUCCAACUCUUCGAGACUUGAAGGGCAAGAUUUUUGAUUUGCCGUUGGACAAGGUAAUUUACAGUUUCUUUACUGUUUCUUUUCAGUUUUAUUUAUGUUGUUAAUUUUUAGUUUUUUCAAUUGUUUUAAUAUUUUCAUAUUAUGUUUGAUUAUGCUGUUCAGUUGAAGAUCAAAAACAUGUGUCCUACUGAUGAAGAGAGGCAGAAGCUUCAACUUGACGGUUUAUUUCUCGAUGAGUCUAUUGAUGACCGUGGUGUAGCGAAGCAAUCCUUUGAGAGUGGGUCAUCUUCAAAGAAAUCUGAUUCAACGGAUAUUGAUUUGAUGAAAUCUAAGUUGGAGAUGGUCAUUUCGAAUCAAUCAUCAUUGGCUGAAGACUUCAUAUCCUUGAGGUGUUUUGUUGAUCUUAAUUUCAAGUCCGUAAUGACUGUAAUUAAGGAUAUUCAGGAGAAGGUUAAUGCCAUUCAUCGUCGUCCUUCUGAUGAGGUAUUUAUUCAUAUUUUAUUGUUUAGGUUUUUUCAUAUUUUUUUUAGUUUCUUUACUGUUUCAUUUAAGUUUCAUUUAUGUUGUUUGAUGCAGGAAAAGUCAUCUGAUGAAUUAGUAACUCAAGAUUCUGAUGAUGACGGUGAUGAUGAUGAUGAUGAUGAUGCUGAGGAUGAUGAGAAGCAACUGCCUGAUCCAGAAAAUAUUGAUUCUGACUCCGACGAUGGUGGUGAGUUGGUUAAAGUUGGUGGUGAUGCUGAUGAUGCUGACAAGGUUGUUACUGAUG
This is a long non-coding RNA of Cannabis sativa, 3531 nucleotides long. RefSeq lists it as uncharacterized. Lineage: Eukaryota; Viridiplantae; Streptophyta; Magnoliopsida; Rosales; Cannabaceae. The transcript is spliced from 3 exons. The record is from RefSeq and is a predicted model, not a curated record.